CCUACGGGGGGCAGCAGUAGGGAAUCUUUCACAAUGGGCGAAAGCCUGAUGGAGCAACGCCGCGUGCAGGAUGAAGGCCUUCGGGUUGUAAACUGCUUUUAUAAGCGAGGAAUAUGAUGGUAACUUAUGAAUAAGGAUCGGCUAAAUACGUGCCAGCAGCCGCGGUCAUACGUAGGAGCCGAGCAUUAUCCGGAGUGACUGGGUGUAAAGAGUUGCGUAGGUGGGAUAAUAAGUAGCUAGUGAAAUCUGGUGGCUCAACCAUUCAGACUAUUAGCUAAACUGUUAAGCUCGAGACCGUUAGGGGUAACUGGAAUUUCUAGUGUAGGAGUGAAAUCCGUAGAUAUUAGAAGGAACACCAAUAGCGUAGGCAGGUUGCUGGGACGGUUCUGACACUAAGGCACGAAAGCGUAGGGAGCAAACGGGAUUAGAUACCCUUGUAGUC
This 442-nucleotide ribosomal RNA is filed under the name uncultured bacterium. Its description in RNAcentral is "partial 16S ribosomal RNA". It matches the Rfam family "Bacterial small subunit ribosomal RNA", at positions 338 to 795 of the family's 1533-position model. The record is from RNAcentral.